RNAcentral lists this long non-coding RNA (334 nucleotides) under Cricetulus griseus (Chinese hamster). Its description in RNAcentral is "lncRNA (ENSCGRG00015034731.1)". Lineage: Eukaryota; Metazoa; Chordata; Mammalia; Rodentia; Cricetidae. The record is from RNAcentral.
GCAGUUGUUCUGAAGUCUUGGAACGAGAACAGAACAACUUUGGAAGGAAAUGAUCACCAUCCCUCAUCAGCUGUGAGGCUGUUAAAGCUGGAAGAGGGUCUCGCUGAUCACCAGCAACAGAUUCCGGGUUCUAGGGGGUUCAAGGCUCAGAUCGGUGUCUGCUGGAGGGACAGCAUCCUGGGUUUCCCCAAUAGUGCUACCUAGAGCUGAAUAGGUAAAGGCAUUCUGUGCAUGGUGUUGAAGAAGGACAUACACCGUAUGAAAAGUAGACACCAGUUUCAGCAAACACAGUCCAGUACAAAGAUGGAUGCAUUCCUGGAGGACGAGGUUUCUU